UCAAGAUGACGAUAAUAAUAUUACUAUUAGUAAUGUUGGUGGUAUGAGUAACUCGGAGCGACUCACCGGGUCACAACCCUCUCAGUCACCUACUCUUAAAAGGCCCAGCAUGUUUUUUUCUCUUCUAGUCUUCAUCGGCAAGCCCACCCAUGUCCCUGACAUUGCUUCCCUAUGCACACUCUUUUUGCAAAUCAUUUCUUCACUUUGUUCCAUCCCAAGCUCUCCCAUCACUCUCUCAGCCAACAACUGCCUCGACGCUAUGUCUUCAAUUGGCAUUUCUCUUUUUGCCGCUUAUUUAACUCCAUAUUUUACUGUCACUGAUAUUUUCACUUCGCCACCGAUUCUAGCCGAUAGUUUCCCGAAAGUACUGUAAUGGCCAAUUUUUGGCCCAUACAAAUAAAAAAUAACAAAACCCAAUAAACCAAAUAAAUAAAGUCCAAAGUACAAAACUAAAAGACUAGCCCAACAGGCCCAAAUCAACCUAGCCCACUAAACAUUUUCCAAAAAAAAAAAAGAGGAAACCCUAGCAGCUCCCCAAGCCUCCAGCCGCCGCACGCUAGGCCAACCAUGGGCCACCUUGCGCACUACCACCACCACACCCCGUUCAUGCCCUUCUCCUCCAUGCGUCUGACACCGCCUGCAAAACGAGACACAACUACAGAGAACAGAACAAAAACGCAACAAACAAUAGAAAUUUUCUUGGUAUUCGGCUAUAUGAAGCCUCAAUCAAAAAUAUGUGAGGGGUGUUCUUUCGAAAUACAAAAAGUUUGUAUCAAAAACAAAAGAAAAAAGAAAAGCUUAGAAGGUUAACUUCAAUUUUUUUUCCUCUGUUAUCUCAAUCUUUCUAUUUAUCUUUGCUUUGUUUUAUUUUUUAUUUCAUUAACUUACUUUAAAACAAAAAAGAAUCAAGGAAGAAGAGAGUCUUACCGGAUCUACCCUGUGGCCGCUCCCCUCUCCGUUCGACACGGUGAACCGCCAGCGAUGAUGGGUGUUGAAACCCUAGCUGAAGAAAGGAGGAAGAGAUAAAGGGGGAGGGGUUUGAG
Molecule: long non-coding RNA, 1043 nt
Filed under: Gossypium barbadense (sea-island cotton)
Lineage: Eukaryota; Viridiplantae; Streptophyta; Magnoliopsida; Malvales; Malvaceae
Description: long non-coding RNA (GBAR_LNC009841)
Source: RNAcentral